AUUGAACGCUGGCGGCAUGCCUUACACAUGCAAGUCGAACGGCAGCACGGGGCAACCUGGUGGCGAGUGGCGAACGGGUGAGUAAUGCAUCGGAACGUGCCAUUGAGUGGGGGAUAACGUAGCGAAAGUUGCGCUAAUACCGCAUAUUCUGUGAGCAGGAAAGCAGGGGACCGCAAGGCCUUGCGCUCUUUGAGCGGCCGAUGUCAGAUUAGCUAGUUGGUGAGGUAACGGCUUACCAAGGCGACGAUCUGUAGCGGGUCUGAGAGGAUGAUCCGCCACACUGGAACUGAGACACGGUCCAGACUCCUACGGGAGGCAGCAGUGGGAAUUUUGGACAAUGGGCGCAAGCCUGAUCCAGCCAUGCCGCGUGAGUGAAGAAGGCC
RNAcentral lists this ribosomal RNA (383 nucleotides) under uncultured bacterium. RNAcentral's name for it is "bacterial SSU rRNA". It matches the Rfam family "Bacterial small subunit ribosomal RNA", at positions 30 to 416 of the family's 1533-position model. The record is from RNAcentral.